CAUGUCUCUGUAAAUUUCCUGCCCUGGUUCCUUGGCAUCUUUAAGAUGCCAACCAUUGUCCUGGGUUUGAGGAACUUCAAAUGGCCAUUGACAGUUGUCUGCCUCUCGACGUAAAGCUAAAUGUUGGUGAAUGUAAGAACCCUAUUUAUUGAGCGAGUCCUGACUUGUAGAUGCUGUUUUUGCGCGUUGUUGGAAGCAAGUUGACGUUUUCCUUUCCUAAAAAACGGGUCAUGUCUUAUGGUACUGCCAUUUUGGAAGAGUUGUAUAAAUUUUUAUUGGAUGGAUGAAGCUUGCCCUCUAUGCUAGAAUGAGAGGGGUACUUCUUGUCGGGCAGAGUCAAUAUUAACCAGUGUUCCUUUUAGAGUGUUGUUUAUUUGCUGUUUAAAGGAUUCCAUUUCUUCCAUGUAUUGUACAUUUUACGAUACGUAUAUGUCACUUAUGCAAAUUGUAUAUUAUUGUCAUCCAUGCAAUUGGAAACCCCUGAGAAUAUUGCCAAAGCAGCAACUAACAAGAAUUCCGGGCUGGUGGUGGUAAGAAGAACAAAUAGUUUAGUCGGCAAAUAACAGAUCAUGGAACGGCAAAACCAUCGACAUCUAUGUCAGGAGGUUUGCAUGCAAAUUACGGGUGGGAACUUGAUGUCAGUUUGUAAUCUCAUGUAGUCUUUGCUGGAUACUAUCACAUCAUGGAAGGUUUCUAGGUGCUGACUGCUGAUUUAACUGUCUUUCAUGACUACUUGUUUAUCUCGUUGGACUACUAUCGUGUGUAAGUUUUUCUGUGCGCAUACAUUUGAUGGGUUGACUGGUAACUCCAAAGAUGGAGAUAUGAAACUACACCAUUUCGAUAUAAAAUAAUUAGUAGAUAAAACAAUCGUUGUCAAA
Syzygium oleosum is the source of this 878-nucleotide long non-coding RNA. RefSeq lists it as uncharacterized. Lineage: Eukaryota; Viridiplantae; Streptophyta; Magnoliopsida; Myrtales; Myrtaceae. The transcript is spliced from 2 exons. The record is from RefSeq and is a predicted model, not a curated record.